UAUGUUAGCUUGCUAGAAUAUUUAGUAGCAAAUGGGUGAGUAACACGUACCUAACCUACCUUUUGGACCGGGAUAACCAUUGGAAACAGCGGCUAAUACCGGAUAUGAUAAAAAAAUGCAUGUUUUUUUAUCAAAAGAAGCCUUUAAAGCUUCACCAAAAAAUGGGGGUGCGCAACAUUAGUUAGUUGGUAGGGUAAAGGCCUACCAAGACGAUGAUGUUUAGCGGGGCCUAGAGGCUGUACCGCCACACUGGGAUUGAGAUACGGCCCAGACUCCUACGGGAGGCAGCAGUAAGGAAUAUUCCACAAUGAGCGAAAGCUUGAUGGAGCGACACAGAGUGCAGGAUGAAGUCUUUAGGGAUGUAAACUGCUGUUGUAAGGGAAGAAAAAACUAGAUAGGAAAUGAUUUAGUCUUGACGGUACCUUAUUAGAAAGUGACGGCAAACUAUGUGCCAGCAGCCGCGGUAAUACAUAGGUCGCAAGCGUUAUCCGGAAUUAUUGGGCGUAAAGCGUCCGCAGGUUUUUUGUUAAGUUUAAGGUUAAAUGCUAAAGCUCAACUUUAGUUCGCUUUAGAUACUGACAAAAUAGAAUUAUGAAGAGGUUAGCGGAAUUCCUAGUGGAGCGGUGGAAUGCGUAGAUAUUAGGAAGAACACCAAUAGGCGAAGGCAGCUAACUGGUCAUAUAUUGACACUAAUGGACGAAAGCGUGGGGAGCAAACAGGAUUAGAUACCCUGGUAGUCCACGCCGUAAACGAUGAUCAUUAGUUGGUGGCAAAAGUCACUAGCACAGCUAACGCGUUAAAUGAUCCGCCUGAGUAGUAUGCUCGCAAGAGUGAAACUUAAAGGAAUUGACGGGAACCCGCACAAGCGGUGGAGCAUGUGGUUUAAUUUGAAGAUACGCGUAGAACCUUACCCACUCUUGACAUCCUCGCAAAACUAUAGAGAUAUAGCGAG
Molecule: ribosomal RNA, 952 nt
Filed under: Mesomycoplasma ovipneumoniae
Lineage: Bacteria; Bacillati; Mycoplasmatota; Mycoplasmoidales; Metamycoplasmataceae
Description: bacterial SSU rRNA
Rfam family: Bacterial small subunit ribosomal RNA
Source: RNAcentral